UACGAAGGGUGCAAACGUUGCUCGGAAUUAUUGGGCGUAAAGCGCACGUAGGCGGCAUUGCAAGUCGGAUGUGAAAUCCCUCGGCUUAACCAAGGAAGUGCAUCCGAAACUGCAGUGCUUGAGUACUUAAGAGGAUCGCGGAAUUCCCGGUGUAGAGGUGAAAUUCGUAGAUAUCAGGAGGAACACCGGUGGCGAAGGCGGGUCUCUGGGCCGAUAUCGACGCUGAGGAGCGAAAGCGUGGGGAGCGAACAGG
This 253-nucleotide ribosomal RNA is filed under the name uncultured bacterium. Its description in RNAcentral is "partial 16S ribosomal RNA". It matches the Rfam family "Bacterial small subunit ribosomal RNA", at positions 524 to 776 of the family's 1533-position model. The record is from RNAcentral.